RNAcentral lists this ribosomal RNA (492 nucleotides) under uncultured bacterium. RNAcentral's name for it is "partial 16S ribosomal RNA". It matches the Rfam family "Bacterial small subunit ribosomal RNA", at positions 29 to 507 of the family's 1533-position model. The record is from RNAcentral.
AGUGAACGCUGGCGGUAGGCCUAACACACGCAAGUCGAACGGCAGCACAGUAAGAGCUUGCUCUUACGGGUGGCGAGUGGCGGACGGGUGAGGAAUACAUCGGAAUCUACUUUUUCGUGGGGGAUAACGUAGGGAAACUUACGCUAAUACCGCAUACGACCUACGGGUGAAAGCAGGGGAUCUUCGGACCUUGCGCGAUUGAAUGAGCCGAUGUCGGAUUAGCUAGUUGGCGGGGUAAAGGCCCACCAAGGCGACGAUCCGUAGCUGGUCUGAGAGGAUGAUCAGCCACACUGGAACUGAGACACGGUCCAGACUACUACGGGAGGCAGCAGUGGGGAAUAUUGGACAAUGGGCGCAAGCCUGAUCCAGCCAUACCGCGUGGGUGAAGAAGGCCUUCGGGUUGUAAAGCCCUUUUGUUGGGAAAGAAAAGCAGCAGGUUAAUACCCCGCUGUUCUGACGGUACCCAAAGAAUAAGCACCGGCUAACUUCGUG